CCUACGGGUGACAGCAGUGAGGAAUAUUGGUCAAUGGACGAGAGUCUGAACCAGCCCAGUAGCGUGAAGGAUGACUGCCCUAUGGGUUGUAAACUUCUUUUAUAUGGGAAUAAAAUGUUCCACGUGUGGGAUUUUGUAUGUACCAUAUGAAUAAGGAUCGGCUAACUCCGUGCCAGCAGCCGCGGUAAUACGGAGGAUCCGAGCGUUAUCCGGAUUUAUUGGGUUUAAAGGGAGCGUAGGUGGAUUGUUAAGUCAGUUGUGAAAGUUUGCGGCUCAACCGUAAAAUUGCAGUUGAAACUGGCAGUCUUGAGUACAGUAGAGGUGGGCGGAAUGCGUGGUGGAGCGGUGAAAUGCUUAGAUAUCACGAAGAACUCCGAUUGCGAAGGCAGUUCACUGGACUGCAACUGACACUGAGGCUCGAAAGUGUGGGUAUCAAACAGGAUUAGAUACCCCAGUAGUC
RNAcentral lists this ribosomal RNA (460 nucleotides) under uncultured bacterium. Its description in RNAcentral is "partial 16S ribosomal RNA". It matches the Rfam family "Bacterial small subunit ribosomal RNA", at positions 338 to 795 of the family's 1533-position model. The record is from RNAcentral.